Molecule: long non-coding RNA, 1300 nt
Filed under: Parus major (Great Tit)
Lineage: Eukaryota; Metazoa; Chordata; Aves; Passeriformes; Paridae
Description: lncRNA (ENSPMJG00000008199.1)
Source: RNAcentral
UUGAUGCCCACAAUUUCAAUUCUUGGACAGGAGAGGAUGUUACAGGGGGGUUUUGGACAUCUUCCUGGUGGAAAGCCAAGGCCAAAAAGGGUUUUAAGGACUUAACUUGCAGCAGAGGGAUUUCAUGUGAGCAAAAAUGUGACAGUCACAUCUUGCAUCCUAUGUAAUUGCUGCCAGGAGAUGUUUAAGAACAACAUUCCCUGUUUUCCUACUUUACUGUUCUCCAAAGGAGGGAAGCUCAUUACAGAGCCUAAUGUAGUGCUGCUUUGCUGGAUAUUUAUGUCUCAGAUUCUUAAUUUCAAGUACAAGGCUUAUUCAGAGAAGAGGGGAUGAGUGAAAUGCAGUCUUUUCAUAUGCUACAAUACCAAGUGCACUGGUCCAAACAUCCAGAAAUUGAAGGGAAUCCCACCUGAAAUUUGAGGAGCAACUGUCUGCUCUGGAGCCAGGACUGCUCUGUAUUCCAGUUAGUGACCUACAUGAAAGAACUGAGACCAGAUUUUUCAGGAGCUGUCUUGUAGAACAAGCCUAUCAAUCAUUUCUCACCUCAUAACAGCGUUGAGAAAGAACCACUAGAUUUUGCAACACGAGUUGUACAAGCAGCCCAGUACAGGUGCAAUCUUAUGGGAGAGAGCUCCUACCCAUGUACCCAGUGGAUAACUUCCCCAUUGCUCCUGGGAGUCUGGCACAGAGCUCUUUGCCAGGUGCUUUCACAACCGUGUGAGGCUUCAUUGGCUGAUUCAAGUCAAGAAAUUCAGAGUGAUGAAAGUGCCUUCCAUGUGGUCAUCUUGUUUUAAGGAUGGCAAGGAACUCCCAGCUUCAGGACCUAUUCAGUUAUACAACAGCAUGUGCUAAUCCACGCUCAUCUCUUUGGCUGCCAGGAUAGAAACUCAACUAACUGCUGUGAAAAAUUCCAGGAUCAUGCCAAAUGUAGCUGUUCUAUGCACGUCUUUGAGCAAGAUACUACCCAAAUGAACAAUGGAUCACCUUUUCAGCUAGCAGCCUUGUUGUGCAAGAUGCUGGAGACCUUGGAUGAAGCACUGCUUUACUGAGGAGGCUCCUAAACUAGAUUUGGAACAGUUUAAUGUUGCUAAGUGUAGGAAUUCAGAAUUCAGUGUCCAUAAUGGAAAAGCAGGAUACAGAACAAACUCAGGAUAAGUGCAGCGAUCAGUCCGCAUGAGAACCUCAGAGGUGGCUGAGAAGAUACACGAGGUUAAACUGGGCACUUAAAAACACUAUUCAAGCAGAAAAUCAUGCUCAAGUUUCAUAGGUGAGAGCAGGACAUCUGACUGCUAAAUCUGCA